GGAGGGAGCUAGCGUUAUUCGGAAUUACUGGGCGUAAAGCGUACGUAGGCGGUUAUUCAAGUCAGAGGUGAAAGCCCGGGGCUCAACCCCGGGAACUGCCUUUGAAACUAGAUAGCUAGAAUCUUGGAGAGGUCAGUGGAAUUCCGAGUGUAGAGGUGAAAUUCGUAGAUAUUCGGAAGAACACCAGUGGCGAAGGCGACUGACUGGACAAGUAUUGACGCUGAGGUACGAAAGCGUGGGGAGCAAACAGGAUUAGACACCCUGGUAGUCCACGCCGUAAACGAUGAUAACUAGCUGUCCGGGCACUUGGUGCCUGGGUGGCGCAGCUAACGCAUUAAGUUAUCCGCCUGGGGAGUACGGUCGCAAGAUUA
Molecule: ribosomal RNA, 371 nt
Filed under: uncultured bacterium
Lineage: Bacteria
Description: bacterial SSU rRNA
Rfam family: Bacterial small subunit ribosomal RNA
Source: RNAcentral